AAGAAAGUAAAUAAGAGCGUAUGGCGGAUGCCUUGGCUCUCAGAGGCGAUGAAGGACGUGAUAAGCUGCGAUAAGCCACGGUUAGGUGCAAAUAACCUUCAACCCGUGGAUUUCCGAAUGGGGCAACCUAUCAUACUGAAGGUAUGAUGCAUUGCGCAAACCCGGAGAACUGAAACAUCUAAGUACCCGGUGGAAAAGAAAACAAUAGUGAUUCCCUUAGUAGCGGCGAGCGAACGGGGAAUAGCCCAAACCCUAAUGGUCUAGGCCUUUAGGGGGUUGUAGGACUGCAACGUGGAAUGUGUUUUUAUAACAGAAUUACCUGGAAAGGUAAGCCAUAGAAGGUGAUAGCCCUGUACGUGAAAUAUUAAUACUACCUAGCAGUAUCCUGAGUAAGGCGGGACAUGUGAAAUCCUGUCUGAAUCUGCCGGAACCAUCCGGUAAGGCUAAAUACUCCUGAGAGACCGAUAGCGAACUAGUACUGUGAAGGAAAGGUGAAAAGUACCCCAAACAGGGGAGUGAAAUAGAACCUGAAACCAUACGCUUACAAACUGUAGGAGCCCUUCGGGGUAACUGCGUGCCUUUUGCAUAAUGACCCUACGAGUUGCUCCUCACUGGCAAGGUUAAGGACUUUAGGUCCGGAGCCGAAGCGAAAGCGAGUCUGAAUAGGGCGCAUAGUCAGUGGGGGCAGACGCGAAACCUUGUGAUCUACCCUUGGCCAGGUUGAAGCUCCGGUAACACGGAGUGGAGGACCGAACCAGUUAACGUUGAAAAGUUUUUGGAUGAGCUGAGGGUAGGGGUGAAAGGCUAAUCAAACUGGGAGAUAGCUCGUACUCCCCGAAAUGCAUUUAGGUGCAGCCUCGAGGUUUAGUGUCAUAGAGGUAGAGCUACCGAUUGGGCUAGGGGGCUUCACCGCCUACCAAACCCUGACGAACUCCGAAUGCUAUGACAUAUACUCGGGAGUGAGGGCAUGGGUGCUAAGGUCCGUGUCCGAAAGGGAAAGAACCCAGACUAUCAGCUAAGGCCCCUAAAUAUACGCUAAGUUGGUUAAACGUGGUCCGAUUGCUUUGACAGCUAGGAUGUUGGCUUGGAAGCAGCCAUUCAUUUAAAGAGUGCGUAACAGCUCACUAGUCGAGCGAUUGGGCGUGGAUAAUAAUCGGGCAUAAAGUGUAUUGCCGAAGCUGUAGCUUUCUGUAGUAAUGCAGAAGGGGUAGGGGAGCAUUCUAGUCUGCACUGAAGGUGUAUCGUAAGGUAUGCUGGAGCGGCUAGAAAAGAAAAUGUAGGGAUAAGUAACGAUAAAGCAGGCGAGAAACCUGCUCACCGCAAAGCCAAGGUUUCCUGAUCAACGCUAAUCGGAUCAGGGUUAGUCGGGACCUAAGGCAAACCCAAACGGGGUAGUCGAUGGACAAUAGGUUAAUAUUCCUAUACCGACAUACAUUGCGAUGGGGUGACGGAGUAGUGAAAGAACUGCGUACUGACGGAAUAGUACGUUGAAGAGCUUAGGUAUAUCAUUGGCAGGUAAAUCCACCAGUGAUGCUGAAACUCGAUAGUACCGCAAAGCUUCGGCUAAGUGGAUAAUGUUCCUAAUCAAACUUCCAAGAAAAACCCCUAAGCUUCAGAUGUAUGCCGCCCGUACCGUAAACCGACACAGGUGGCUGAGGAGAAUAUCCUAAGGUGCUCGAGUGAUUCACGGUUAAGGAACUCGGCAAAUUGGUCCCGUAACUUCGGAAUAAGGGACGCCCCGUGCAAACGGGGCCGCAGAGAAUAGGCCCAGGCGACUGUUUAUCAAAAACACAUGGCUAUGCCAAAUCGAAAGAUGAUGUAUAUGGCCUGACACCUGCCCGGUGCUGGAAGGUUAAAAGGAGAUGUCAUCCGCAAGGAGAAGCAUUGAAUUGAAGCCCCAGUAAACGGCGGCCGUAACUAUAACGGUCCUAAGGUAGCGAAAUUCCUUGUCGGGUAAGUUCCGACCUGCACGAAU
RNAcentral lists this ribosomal RNA (1975 nucleotides) under Flavobacteriales bacterium. RNAcentral's name for it is "partial 23S ribosomal RNA". It matches the Rfam family "Bacterial large subunit ribosomal RNA", at positions 1 to 1997 of the family's 2925-position model. Lineage: Bacteria; Pseudomonadati; Bacteroidota; Flavobacteriia; Flavobacteriales. The record is from RNAcentral.